GCUGCCUGGGCGCAAGGCGCGGGGGGCUGUGGGAGCCUGAGAAUAGUUUGGAUUCAUGAGGUACUCUCAAAUCUACACUAGUGUUAUAAUAUGCAUCUGAUAUGAGUAUCCAGCUAACUUGAGUUGCAAUACUACAAUGUAACAUUUACUGAUUUUCAUGAGACAAGCAGAAGUUCUAAUCCUCUCUGGUACUAGCUGGGCCCUGGAACUCUCUGAUGUCAUCAAUAGGUCACAGAACACUGCUGAGACCUCAGUAAUAACUGGUACCCCACCAACCAUGGUACGAUACUGAGCAUUACAGAGGACAGUGAUCUGGUAAUAGAUAGCGUCUUAGGUGAUUUGUUGUUUGUGGAUGUAUAAAUUUCAUUCCUUAACAUCAUUAACAAUUCUCUGAGAGCAGUCUCAGAAUCUUACUUGAUAUUAGUAGUCCUCUGAAGAAUUGAACUAUGAAGCACAAAAAGAAGAAGAAACACCUGGAGGAGAAAUUCUUACAGCAGCCUGGAAAAAAGUCAAAAUAUAAAAAAGGUCUUGAAUCAUCUAAGAUGCUUCUAAGUCAAGAUUUGAUGGAGAUGGGGAAUUCCUCCUUCGUGCCACAUUCUCACAUCCCUUCCUCCUCAGCCCAUAACCCCUCUGUGUCUGCAGCAUCUACUGAGAAGAAAAGAAUAAUGAAUGUUUAUUACAAGCCUGUCCCAAUGAAAAGGGGUGUGGCAGCUUUGGAGGAUACAGAAGAUUUGCAGCCCCCUGCAAAGAUGAUAAGAAUAGGAAAAGUGACCUGUUCUGAGAGGAUCACUUCAAAAGCCAGCCUCCCUUACAUGCCCCUAGCAGGUAUCCUAAAGGAUGGUAAGGACAGUUUGGAUAUUGAAUGGCAAGAGGAAAGGGGAAAGCCUGAGGAGCAGCCUGAGGAUCUGGCCCAGGACUCAGGUCCCAGUGCCAAAACACCUGCAAAGCUGGAGGAAUUGUAUAGUGGCUUUAGGUGCAUGGGAUGCUGCCAGGUGUUCCCCAAUUUGCAGAUGCUCAAGAAACACCUGCAGCAUGGGGCUGAGGAGGGUAUUUCCUGUCUUGAUCUUGCAUUUGCCAAACUGAGGAACAAAAGCAAGAUAAGCAAGAUGUCAAGGAGGAAGAACAAAAAUAUCACAACAGCCUGUAAUGAUAUGGAGAUCCUUUUGUGGUUCUUGUUAUUUUUGGUUUUUUGUACCUUUUUGGUUUAUUAUUAUAAUACAUAGAAACUAAAUCAUUCUCCUGUUUCUGUCAAUAAUAAAUGCGAGGCCCUAACCGAAGAGGGUACCAGAAAGCCUUUUCAUCCACAAAAUAGCAGAAAGCGUCAGCACCUCACAUCAUCAACUUUUGGUUAAUUUUUUCUUCCUGUCUCUAUGUUCUCUCACCCACUUCACUGUGCUGCUUCCAGAACGGGACUCCAAGUUUAUUUUUUGUCAUAUUAUUCAUUCUUAUUUGUACAUGUAGGCAGCAUAUGAAGUUCCCAUUCUUUGUUCGGAAUUGGUGCAUGUACACAGCACGUCUCAGUUCCUGUCCCCUUUUCCACCCUUCCCUCCCUGCGCUCUCCAUCUUUUGAUGUCUUUCACUUUCUAGAAAUAUCAACCUGCCUACAUCCUAUCGUCUACUUUUAUUUUGCUCUUUAUUUAUUCUUUGGGUUUCUCACACAUAAGAAACCAUGCAGCAUUUAAGCUUGUGUGUCUGAUUUAUUUCACUUACCGUUAUGAUCGCAAGCUUCAUCCAUUUUGUAGAAAUGAUUCACGGAAAUGAGAGAAUAGUAUUCCAUUGUAUUUGCAAACCACAUUUUCUUCUUUUCUGUGCUGAAAUACUAAUUUAUUUAUUUAUCUUUUAGAUUUUAUUUUAGUUUAUGUACAACUUAUAUAUAUGUAAUGGUCACAUUCAUUAUGUGGAAUAUGUGGUUGUACAUUAUAUGUCUUGAUUGUUUUUUAAUUUUCCCAAUUCCAUUCUCCUCUUUUCAGAAUCCCUUCCUCCCUGUUCAUGAAGCUGUUUGCUGUUUUUCUUUUUUUGGCACCAGGACCCAAACUCACAACCUCGCGCUUGCCAGGCAGAUGUUCUGCUGCUAUGCCAUAUCCCAGGCGCAGCUUUUUCAUUUUAUCCUUUUUUUUUUUUCUUCCAGUUUUUGGUCUUUUUUUCCUUCCUCUCCUUCUUAGUUCCAUUUUUUGUUUUGAAUAGUUUCUUCCUAUUUUACAGUAUCUACGGUACCUUUUGGCUGAUUUAUAAUUUCAGUUUCUCACACCAGAGAGAUUAUGUGAUAUUUACACCUGUGUCUGACUUAUUUCACUUAUGAUUAUGGUCUCAAGAGCCAUCCAUUUAGCUACAAAUGUCUCAAUUUUGUCCUCCUUUAUGGAUGAGCAUCACUCCAUUAUAUAAAAAGAACCACAUCUUUCUUUGUCCAUUCAUGGGUUGAUGGGCAUUUGGGUUGCUUCCAAGAUUUAGCUAUUAUAAUCCAUGCCACUAUAAACAUGGGUGCAAUGUAUUUUUUGGUAUGCUGUUUUUAAUUAUUUUUGGAAGAUACCCAGAAUAGGAAUAGCUGAAUCCAAUGGGACCUCUAAUCCUAGUUUUGUAGGGAAUCGCCACACUGAUUUCCACAGUGCUUCCACCAGCCUACACUCCCACCAACAGUAGAGAAGUGUUACUUUCUCCACAUAGUCCCCCAGCAUUUAUUAGCUGUGAUACAGAAUCUCAGUGUUGUAUUAACUUGCAUUUCUUGAAUGACCAGUGAUGCUGAGCAUCUUUUCACAUAUUUAUUUGCCAUUUGUACUACUUCUGAGAAGUACGUAUUCAUCUUAUAUGGCCAUUUUUGGAUUUGAUUUUUGAAUUGGGGGGUUGAUUUCUUUUUCAGCGUUUUUUUUUUUUUUUUACUAUGUUGUAGAUAUUAGUCCUUUAUCUGAAGAACAGUUUGCAAAAAUUUUUUUCCACUCUGUGGGUUGUCUUUGCACUGUUGGUGAUUUCUUUUGCUGUGCAAAGGUUUUUUAAUAUGGUGAAAUCCCAGUUAUGAUUUUUUUGUGAUAAUGCCUAUGCUAUUGAGGUAAAAUCCACAUUUUUAAAAUAUGUCCAUUAAUAGAUAUAUAGGCUGCUUCCAAAAUUUAUCUAUCAUAAAUUGUGCUGAUAUAAACAUGGGUAUGCAUGUAUCACUGUAUAUGAUGUAUUUAAUUUUUUUCAGGAAGACAUCUGGAAGAGGAAUAGCUAGCUGAGUCAAAUGGAAUAUCAAGUUUCAGUUUUUUCUUAGCAAUUUCCAUAUUGAUUUCUAUAGUUGUAAGAGUUUACAUUUCCACUAACAAUCUAUAGGGGUUCUAUUUUUCAGCAUCUAUGCCAGUAUUUUUUUUUUUAGCAUAUUGACAUAAUGCUUUAUUUAAGCUGUCUGUAUGAAGCAAAAUAAUGUGCAUCCCUAUUAUAUACGUGUAAAAAUACAUGCUUAUGAUGUACAGUGUACAAAAACAGUUUGUUGUAGUUAUUUCACAUCCUUGUUGGUCAUACACUUAAGGAAAGAAACAGUUCUAGUAUGACCAACAGUAACAGUAAUACAGUUUCUUGGGUUCAUAGUUGCAUUUGCUUAAAAUCCUUACCCAGAUGACUACAUCUUUUGGGGAUCUAAUGAAAGAAUUAGCAAGGUCAAGAAAUGUCACAGACUAUAAAGCUACAGAGAGGUAAUUCAAUUACCACUUUGGAGGUUUUCUUUUUAUUUAAAUAGAUACUUUACAGUUCAUGCUUGCCUGUAAUGCACUACCAGGAGCAAGAUAAGGAAGUUCUACUGUAGACAGUAGAAAUGGUAGCAGCAAGUGUGUUCACUGAGGUGUAGUAUAUAGACCCUGCAGUUAGUGAGGGAGGCCCUUACUUUUGUACUCUAGAAGAAGCAAGUGGCCCCGCAAGAACAGUCAGCUUUGAGAAUCUGAAAAUCCGGCUGGGAAAUGGAAAACAUACUGGAAUAAUGCUAUGUAAUUAGUGUAGAAAGCAAAGCUGUGAACAACCCUUGCCAACAAUCCAAGCACAAGUGGCCAAUUUCCUCCAUGAUGGCUGCCUUGGGACAAGAGGUCAGACUUCAUGACAGUACAAGUUGCAGUCUACAUAGUUGGAC
Long non-coding RNA from Chinchilla lanigera (long-tailed chinchilla), 4087 nucleotides. Lineage: Eukaryota; Metazoa; Chordata; Mammalia; Rodentia; Chinchillidae. The record is from Ensembl.